RNAcentral lists this ribosomal RNA (1374 nucleotides) under Triticum aestivum (bread wheat). Its description in RNAcentral is "partial small subunit ribosomal RNA". Lineage: Eukaryota; Viridiplantae; Streptophyta; Magnoliopsida; Poales; Poaceae. The record is from RNAcentral.
AUGCGCCUCGACACUGAAGCCAUUGCUGGACUGCCAUGCUUAGAAGAAGCACUUGACUGUUUUCGUGAUGCCGGUCUGCUCAACUUUGUGACAGACAAAGAACAUUGGAAUGAGGAACUCUUGCUUCAAUUCUAUGCUACCCUCCACAUUCGCGGCUACAACAGGGAUAUCAAGACAUGGGUUCUCGAGUGGAUGACAGGAAAUGUUCAUCAUGAAGCCAAAGCUCUUGAUGUCAUUGAGCUUACAGGCCUACCCACUCCCGGAGAGCUAUAUGAACCUGAUUGUCAACUACACCGCAAUGCACUGGAGAGCAUCUUCCAUAAGCCAGAACCCAACAUGAGCCAGAUGUUGAGCAUGAUGAAGCCUUUGCCUUCUGACGCUGAAUACCCAACAGAGUUCUUUGUUGAUGACCUUGAGUAUCUGCCUCGCACAAUAUAUCACAUCAUCAGGCGAACUCUAUGGCCUAUCAAAGGGCAUUCAUCAGCGUCCAAACUUGAAGGAGCCAUGAAGACAUUGGUCUUUUACAUCCUCAAUGGCAUUAGCUUGAAUUCCCAGGAAUUCUUCAUUCGACAACUUGCUGCGUCUGGAUCUGACCUUAUUGGCCUGAAAUUCUAUGCUCCAUGGGUCAUGCGCCUCAUCAAGCGACAUUCCUCUGUCAACUAUCAACCCUCUGCUCGCAACCAUCUGAUCUUUCUACCAGAGGUUGAUAUGUCAGUUGAAGCCAUAUACUCUGAGCUUGCCAAGAAGCCUCUCUGUCUUCAAAAUGUCGAGCACCAAAGCUUCACUCAACCCAUUGAAGGCGUCCAAGCAGUAACACGUAUCUAUCCAAUGGCUGGGAACACUCAUCUGCCUCAUCGUGCGCAAACUGAAGCUACUGAAAGCACCAUUGCCCAAAGGCCUCAGAAGCGCUCUCGCGUUCUCAAUGACCGAGAACUUCUUGUGGCACUUCAUCAGAAACAAGAUAAGCAUCACUUUUGGCUCAAGAGACAGAUGCAAAGCCUCUUGGUGGAUGUCAAUCACAUUCGAAAUCUUGCCACCAAGAAUGCAUUUGUCGCACACAAGACUUUUCGGCGAUCAUGGAAGAGUUUGACGCUGCUCAGUGCUGAAGCAGAUCUUCAAGACGAUGGCUUCAUUGAAAGAUUCAAGUUUGACUCCACUCCUCCACGGACUGGUGUCCUAUGUCGAACUCCAUCCCUUGAAGACUCUGACUAUUCUUCCUCCGCGGCAACUGUGAAUGCCAGAGUGAUCGAUGAUGAAGAUGAUGCUACUUCACCGCCCCCUACUUCUGCACACAUCGACACUGCACCAAGUACGUCUGCACCGCCAAACAACAACGACAACCCUGCUGCUUCACCUACUCAUGAGGACGAGUAG